GACGAACGCUGGCGGCGUGCUUAACACAUGCAAGUCGAACGGGAAGGCCCUGCUUUUGUGGGGUGCUCGAGUGGCGAACGGGUGAGUAACACGUGAGUAACCUGCCCUUGACUUUGGGAUAACUUCAGGAAACUGGGGCUAAUACCGGAUAGGAGCUCCUGCUGCAUGGUGGGGGUUGGAAAGUUUCGGCGGUUGGGGAUGGACUCGCGGCUUAUCAGCUUGUUGGUGGGGUAGUGGCUCACCAAGGCUUUGACGGGUAGCCGGCCUGAGAGGGUGACCGGCCACAUUGGGACUGAGCUACGGCCCAGACUCCUACGGGAGGCAGCAGUGGGGAAUAUUGCACAAUGGGCGGAAGCCUGAUGCAGCAACGCAGCGUGCGGGAUGACGGCCUUCGGGUUGUAAACCGCUUUCGCCUGUGACGAAGCGUGAGUGAAGGUAAUGGGUAAAGAAGCACCGGCUAACUACGUG
This 468-nucleotide ribosomal RNA is filed under the name uncultured bacterium. RNAcentral's name for it is "partial 16S ribosomal RNA". It matches the Rfam family "Bacterial small subunit ribosomal RNA", at positions 28 to 507 of the family's 1533-position model. The record is from RNAcentral.